CCUACGGGAGGCAGCAGUGGGGAAUAUUGCACAAUGGGGGAAACCCUGAUGCAGCGACGCCGCGUGAGUGAAGAAGUAUUUCGGUAUUUAAAGCUCUAUCAGCAGGGAAGAAGAAAGACGGUACCUGACUAAGAAGCCCCGGCUAACUACGUGCCGGCAGCCGCGGUAAUACGUAGGGGGCAAGCGUUAUCCGGAUUUACAAGGUGUAAAGCGCUCGUAGGCGGUAGGUCAAGUCAAGGGUGAAAGCCCCGCGCUCAACGUGGGAACUGCCUUUGAAAAUGGCAAACUGGAGUGUGUUAGAGGAUAGUGGAAUUCCAGGUGUAGGAGUGAAAUCCGUAGAGAUCUGGAGGAACAUCAGUGGCGAAGGCGACUAUCUGGCACAUAACUGACGCUGAGGAGCGAAAGCGUGGGUAGCAAACAGGAUUAGAUACCCCUGUAGUC
RNAcentral lists this ribosomal RNA (441 nucleotides) under uncultured bacterium. Its description in RNAcentral is "partial 16S ribosomal RNA". It matches the Rfam family "Bacterial small subunit ribosomal RNA", at positions 338 to 795 of the family's 1533-position model. The record is from RNAcentral.